Molecule: ribosomal RNA, 383 nt
Filed under: uncultured bacterium
Lineage: Bacteria
Description: bacterial SSU rRNA
Rfam family: Bacterial small subunit ribosomal RNA
Source: RNAcentral
AAGCGGGGGAUCGCAAGACCUCGCGCCUAAAGAGGAGCCUGGGGGAUUACUUGUUGGUGAGGGUAAUGGUCACCAAGGAUCGAUCCGUACCGGCUGAAAGGCGGUCGGCAAUGACUGACAUAGGGUCAGACUCCUACGGGGAGGCAGCAGUCGGGAAUUUUGGGGCAAUGGGCGCAAGCCUGACCCAGCAACGCCGCGUGAAGGAUGAAAUCCCUCGGGAUGUAAACUUCGCAAGAACAGGAAGAAUAAGUGGGGGACAAUACCCCCCAUGAUGACGGUACUGUUUGUAAGCUCCGGCUAACUCCGUGCCAGCAGCCGCGGUAAUACGGGGGGAGCAAGCGUUGUUCGGAUUUUACUGGGCGUAAAGGGCGCCGUAGCGGGCG